Molecule: ribosomal RNA, 504 nt
Filed under: uncultured bacterium
Lineage: Bacteria
Description: partial 16S ribosomal RNA
Rfam family: Bacterial small subunit ribosomal RNA
Source: RNAcentral
GACGAACGCUGGCGGCGUGCUUAACACAUGCAAGUCGAACGGUGAAGCGCUUGCCUUUUUGGUGGGUGUGGAUGAGUGGCGAACGGGUGAGUAACACGUGAGUAACCUGCCCUCUUCUUCUGGAUAACCUCAUGAAAGUGGGGCUAAUACGGGGUAUUCCGGGUCUGUCGCAUGGCGGGUUUGGGAAAGAUUGCGCCUUUGGGUGUUUUCGGUGGGGGAUGGGCUCGCGGCCUAUCAGCUUGUUGGUGGGGUGAUGGCCUACCAAGGCGGUGACGGGUAGCCGGCCUGAGAGGGUGGACGGCCACACUGGGACUGAGACACGGCCCAGACUCCUGCGGGAGGCAGCAGUGGGGAAUAUUGCACAAUGGGCGCAAGCCUGAUGCAGCGACGCCGCGUGAGGGAUGGAGGCCUUCGGGUUGUGAACCUCUUUCGCCAGUGAGGCAGGCCUGCUCCUGUGUGGGUGGGUUGACGGUAGCUGGAUAAGAAGCGCCGGCUAACUACGUG